ACUGAUUAUUUGUGACUGAGUGGCGGACGGGUGAGUAACGCGUGGGUAACCUGCCUUGUACAGGGGGAUAACAGUUGGAAACGGCUGCUAAUACCGCAUGAUGCAGUUGGGUCGCAUGGCUCUGACUGCCAAAGAUUUUAUCGCUCUGAGAUGGCCUCGCGUCUGAUUAGAUAGUUGGUGGGGUAACGGCCUACCAAGCCGACGAUCGGUAGCCGGACUGAGAGGUUGAACGGCCACAUUGGGACUGAGACACGGCCCAGACUCC
Molecule: ribosomal RNA, 265 nt
Filed under: uncultured Eubacteriales bacterium
Lineage: Bacteria; Bacillati; Bacillota; Clostridia; Eubacteriales
Description: uncultured Clostridiales bacterium partial 16S ribosomal RNA
Rfam family: Bacterial small subunit ribosomal RNA
Source: RNAcentral